UUGAAGUUGUUGUUGAAGAUUGAAUUUUGAAUGUUGUUGUUGUUGUUGAGAUGAAUGGUUUAAAGAUUAAUAUUGUUGUUGUUGAUUAUCCUAAUUAGUUUCAAAUGUUGUUCAAAUUAUAGGUGUUCAACGACCGGUUACAAAUCAUAGAAGAUAACUUUUGGAUGGCCUACAAGAAUUCACAUUUUAUUUUUUGUUUUUGUUGGUUAAUAAUUUAUUUUAUUUUUGUUGUAAUAUUAUAAGGUGUGUGUCAUUUUUACUUUGCAAUUGGUGUAAAU
This 278-nucleotide long non-coding RNA is filed under the name Lathyrus oleraceus (garden pea). RNAcentral's name for it is "Pisum sativum (pea) long non-coding RNA (PSAT_LNC003103)". The record is from RNAcentral. Lineage: Eukaryota; Viridiplantae; Streptophyta; Magnoliopsida; Fabales; Fabaceae.